Molecule: ribosomal RNA, 497 nt
Filed under: uncultured bacterium
Lineage: Bacteria
Description: bacterial SSU rRNA
Rfam family: Bacterial small subunit ribosomal RNA
Source: RNAcentral
AGUGAACGCUAGCGAUGUGGUUAAGACAUGCAAGUCGAGCGGGAUCUCCUUCGGGAGUGAGAGCGGCGAACGGGUGCGUAACACGUAAGUAAUUUACCUUUAAGUGGGGGAUAGCCCGUCGAAAGACGGAUUAAUACCGCAAGUGGUCCUGGGUUGCAUAACCUGGGUACUAAAGCUUGUAAUGGCGCUUAAAGAGAAGCUUGCGGCCUAUCAGCUUGUUGGUGAGGUAACGGCACACCAAGGCUAAGACGGGUAACCGGUCUGAGAGGAUGAUCGGUCACACUGGAACUGAGAUACGGUCCAGACACCUACGGGUGGCAGCAGUUUCGAAUCAUUCACAAUGGGCGAAAGCCUGAUGGUGCGACAUCGCGUGGGGGACGAAGGUCUUCGGAUUGUAAACCCCUGUCAUCAAGGAACAAAAACUAGGCUCAUACCCUAGCUUGAGUUAACUUGAAGAGGAAGCAGUGGCUAACUCUGUGCCAGCAGCCGCAGUAAUA